UGCGGAGGGGGCGAGCGUUGCCCGAAUUUACUGGGUGUAAAGCGUGCGUAGGCGGCUCCAUAAGUCUGGUGUGAAAUGUCGCGGCUCAACGGCGGAGCUGCACCAGAUACUGCGGGGCUUGAGGCCGGGUGAGGUGAGUGGAAUUCGCGGUGUAGCGGUGAAAUGCGUUGAUAUGGGGUAGAACACCGGUGGCGAAGGCGGAUCGCUAGCCUGUUGUUGACGCUGAGGCGCGAAAGCGGGGGGAGCGAAAGGG
Molecule: ribosomal RNA, 253 nt
Filed under: uncultured bacterium
Lineage: Bacteria
Description: partial 16S ribosomal RNA
Rfam family: Bacterial small subunit ribosomal RNA
Source: RNAcentral